RNAcentral lists this ribosomal RNA (510 nucleotides) under uncultured bacterium. Its description in RNAcentral is "bacterial SSU rRNA". It matches the Rfam family "Bacterial small subunit ribosomal RNA", at positions 777 to 1286 of the family's 1533-position model. The record is from RNAcentral.
AAUAGAUACCCCGGUAGUCCACGCCGUAAACGAUGAUAACUAGCUGUCCGGGCUCAUGGAGCUUGGGUGGCGCAGCUAACGCAUUAAGUUAUCCGCCUGGGGAGUACGGUUGCAAGAUUAAAACUCAAAGGAAUUGACGGGGGCCUGCACAAGCGGUGGAGCAAGUGGUUUAAUUCGAAGCAACGCGCAGAACCUUACCAGCCUUUGACAUGCCUAGUAUGGUCUCCAGAGAUGGAUUCCUUGUCUUCGGACGCUAGGACACAGGUGCUGCAUGGCUGUCGUCAGCUCGUGUCGUGAGAUGUUGGGUUAAGUCCCGCAACGAGCGCAACCCUCGUCCUUAGUUGCCAUCAUUCAGUUGGGCACUCUAAGGAAACCGCCGGUGAUAAGCCGGAGGAAGGUGGGGAUGACGUCAAGUCCUCAUGGCCCUUACAGGCUGGGCUACACACGUGCUACAAUGGCGGUGACAGUGGGCAGCAAACUCGCGAGAGUGAGCUAAUCUCCAAAAGCCGU